This 527-nucleotide ribosomal RNA is filed under the name uncultured bacterium. Its description in RNAcentral is "partial 16S ribosomal RNA". The record is from RNAcentral.
GGAGUUAGCCGGUGCUUCUUCUGUGAGUGAUGUCCUUCCUGCCGGCUAUUAACCCGCAGGCCUUCUUCCUCACUGAAAGUGCUUUACAACCCGAAGGCCUUCUUCACACACGCGGCAUGGCUGGAUCAGGGUUGCCCCCAUUGUCCAAUAUUCCCCACUGCUGCCUCCCGUAGGAGUCUGGGCCGUGUCUCAGUCCCAGUGUGGCUGAUCAUCCUCUCAGACCAGCUACGGAUCGUCGCCUUGGUGAGCCGUUACCUCACCAACCAGCUAAUCCGACAUAGGCUCAUCCGAUAGCGCGAGGCCCGAAGGUCCCCCGCUUUCCCCCGUAGGGCGUAUGCGGUAUUAGCCUGGGUUUCCCCAGGUUAUCCCCCACUACCGGGCAGAUUCCUAUGCAUUACUCACCCGUCCGCCGCUCGCCACCAGGGAGCAAGCUCCCCGUGCUGCCGCUCGACUUGCAUGUGUUAGGCCUGCCGCCAGCGUUCAAUCUGACACAGCAUACUNACNCNGNGGCGUGCGAGACGGCGCAG